RNAcentral lists this transfer RNA (73 nucleotides) under Scleropages leichardti (spotted bonytongue). RNAcentral describes it as "tRNA-Asn". It matches the Rfam family "tRNA". From Rfam's summary of the family: Transfer RNA (tRNA) molecules are approximately 80 nucleotides in length. Lineage: Eukaryota; Metazoa; Chordata; Actinopteri; Osteoglossiformes; Osteoglossidae. The record is from RNAcentral.
UAGAUGGAAGCUCGUUGGUUAGAGCGCUUAGCUGUUAACUAAGAGUUUGUAGGUUCGAGGCCUUCCCAUCUAG